RNAcentral lists this ribosomal RNA (253 nucleotides) under uncultured bacterium. RNAcentral describes it as "partial 16S ribosomal RNA". It matches the Rfam family "Bacterial small subunit ribosomal RNA", at positions 524 to 776 of the family's 1533-position model. The record is from RNAcentral.
UACGUAGGGGGCAAGCGUUGUCCGGAUUUAUUGGGGUAAAGGGGUCGGAGGGGGGUCGGUAAGUUGGAUGUGAAAUCUCCAGGCUCAACCUGGAGGGGUCAUUCGAUACUGCCGUGACUAGAGUUCGGUAGGGGAGUGUGGAAUUCCUGGUGGAGCGGUGAAAUGCGCAGAUAUCAGGAGGAACACCCGUAGCGAAGGCGGCACUCUGGGCCGAUACUGACACUGAGGAGCAAAAGCGUGGGGAGCGAACAGG